This 66-nucleotide transfer RNA is filed under the name Paruterina candelabraria. RNAcentral describes it as "tRNA-Phe". Lineage: Eukaryota; Metazoa; Platyhelminthes; Cestoda; Cyclophyllidea; Paruterinidae. The record is from RNAcentral.
UUUCUCUUAGCUUAAUUAAAAGUUUUAGUUUGAAGAGCUGAAGAUAAUAUGAAUAAUUAGGGAUAC